Molecule: ribosomal RNA, 793 nt
Filed under: uncultured bacterium
Lineage: Bacteria
Description: bacterial SSU rRNA
Rfam family: Bacterial small subunit ribosomal RNA
Source: RNAcentral
AACGAACGCGGGCGGCGUGCUAACACAUGCAAGUCGAGCGAGGCCCCUCCUUCGGGAGGGUGUCCUAGCGGCGAACGGGUGAGUAACACGUGGGCAACCUGCCCCUAGCACUGGGAUAACCCCGGGAAACCGGGGCUAAUACCGGAUACGACCUUCAGAGGCAUCUUCGAAGGUGGAAAAAGGUUACUGGCUAGGGAUGGCCCCGCGGCCUAUCAGCUUGUUGGUGGGGUAACGGCCUACCAAGGCGACGACGGGUAGCCGGCCUGAGAGGGCGACCGGCCACACUGGGACUGAGACACGGCCCAGACUCCUACGGGAGGCAGCAGUGGGGAAUAUUGCACAAUGGGCGAAAGCCUGAUGCAGCGACGCCGCGUGAGGGAUGACGGCCUUCGGGUUGUAAACCUCUUUCAACAGGGACGAAGCGCAAGUGACGGUACCUGCAGAAGAAGCACCGGCCAACUACGUGCCAGCAGCCGCGGUAAUACGUAGGGUGCAAGCGUUGUCCGGAAUUAUUGGGCGUAAAGAGCUCGUAGGCGGUUUGUCGCGUCGGCUGUGAAAACCUGGGGCUCAACCCCGGGCCUGCAGCCGAUACGGGCAAACUAGAAUUCGGUAGGGGAGACUGGAAUUCCUGGUGUAGCGGUGAAAUGCGCAGAUAUCAGGAGGAACACCGGUGGCGAAGGCGGGUCUCUGGGCCGAUAUUGACGCUGAGGAGCGAAAGCGUGGGGAGCGAACAGGAUUAGAUACCCUGGUAGUCCACGCCGUAAACGUUGGGCGCUAGGUGUGGGCUCCAUUC